UACGGAGGGUGCAAGCGUUGCUCGGAAUCACUGGGCGUAAAGCGACCGCAGGCGGCCCAGUCCGUCGGAUGUGAAAGCCCGGAGCUCAACUCCGGAAUUGCAUUCGAAACUGCUGGGCUUGAAUACGGGAGAGGGAAGUGGAAUUCCUGGUGUAGAGGUGAAAUUCGUAGAUAUCAGGAGGAACACCAGUGGCGAAAGCGGCUUCCUGGCCCGAUAUUGACGCUCAUGGUCGAAAGCGUGGGGAGCAAACAGG
This 253-nucleotide unclassified non-coding RNA is filed under the name uncultured Pseudobdellovibrionaceae bacterium. RNAcentral describes it as "uncultured Bdellovibrionaceae bacterium contains 16S-23S intergenic spacer region". It matches the Rfam family "Bacterial small subunit ribosomal RNA", at positions 524 to 776 of the family's 1533-position model. Lineage: Bacteria; Pseudomonadati; Bdellovibrionota; Bdellovibrionia; Bdellovibrionales; Pseudobdellovibrionaceae. The record is from RNAcentral.